AGGCUUCUGUAGAUCAGCCAGC
RNAcentral lists this microRNA (22 nucleotides) under Gallus gallus (chicken). RNAcentral's name for it is "gga-miR-1728-3p". Lineage: Eukaryota; Metazoa; Chordata; Aves; Galliformes; Phasianidae. The record is from miRBase by way of RNAcentral.